This 305-nucleotide ribosomal RNA is filed under the name uncultured bacterium. RNAcentral describes it as "bacterial SSU rRNA". It matches the Rfam family "Bacterial small subunit ribosomal RNA", at positions 335 to 657 of the family's 1533-position model. The record is from RNAcentral.
UUUCCUACGGGGCGCAGCAGUGGGGAAUAUUGCACAAUGGGGGAAACCCUGAUGCAGCGACGCCGCGUGAGUGAAGAAGUAUCUCGGUACGUAAAGCUCUAUCAGCAGGAAAGAAAAUGACGGUACCUGACUAAGAAGCCCCGGCUAACUACGUGCCAGCAGCCGCGGUAAUACGUAGGGGGCAAGCGUUAUCCGGAUUUACUGGGUGUAAAGGGAGCGUAGACGGCAGGGCAAGUCUGGAGUGAAAGGCAGGGGCCCAACCCCUGGACUGCUCUGGAAACUGUCCGGCUGGAGUGCAGGAGAGG